GGGGGGAGCUAUACAUGCAGUCGAGCGAAUGGAUUAAGAGCUUGCUCUUAUGAAGUUAGCGGCGGACGGGUGAGUAACACGUGGGUAACCUGCCCAUAAGACUGGGAUAACUCCGGGAAACCGGGGCUAAUACCGGAUAACAUUUUGAACCGCAUGGUUCGAAAUUGAAAGGCGGCUUCGGCUGUCACUUAUGGAUGGACCCGCGUCGCAUUAGCUAGUUGGUGAGGUAACGGCUCACCAAGGCAACGAUGCGUAGCCGACCUGAGAGGGUGAUCGGCCACACUGGGACUGAGACACGGCCCAGACUCCUACGGGAGGCAGCAGUAGGGAAUCUUCCGCAAUGGACGAAAGUCUGACGGAGCAACGCCGCGUGAGUGAUGAAGGCUUUCGGGUCGUAAAACUCUGUUGUUAGGGAAGAACAAGUGCUAGUUGAAUAAGCUGGCACCUUGACGGUACCUAACCAGAAAGCCACGGCUAACUACGUGCCAGCAGCCGCGGUAAUACGUAGGUGGCAAGCGUUAUCCGGAAUUAUGGGCGUAAAGCGCGCGCAGGUGGUUUCUUAAGUCUGAUGUGAAAGCCCACGGCUCACCCGUGGAGGGUCAUUGGAAACUGGGAGACUUGAGUGCAGAAGAGGAAGUGGAAUUCCAUGUGUACGAAAAGGGGGGGGAAAAAAAAA
This 676-nucleotide ribosomal RNA is filed under the name Bacillus cereus. RNAcentral describes it as "bacterial SSU rRNA". It matches the Rfam family "Bacterial small subunit ribosomal RNA", at positions 41 to 698 of the family's 1533-position model. Lineage: Bacteria; Bacillati; Bacillota; Bacilli; Caryophanales; Bacillaceae. The record is from RNAcentral.